UGUUCAGCUCUGCCCUGUGCGUGUGCGUGUGCGCGUGUGCGUGUGCGUGUAUGUGUGCAUGUGCGUGUGUGU
This 72-nucleotide microRNA precursor is filed under the name Otolemur garnettii (small-eared galago). RNAcentral's name for it is "miRNA (ENSOGAG00000033089.1)". The record is from RNAcentral. Lineage: Eukaryota; Metazoa; Chordata; Mammalia; Primates; Galagidae.